CAACAGCGAAAGGAGGUGAUCCAGUGAUCUCAUUGUCCCCAACCCGUACGGUGACCGUCUGCUGGUCCUCUGGCGAGGUCCGGGCCUGAUCCUUUCAGGCUGAAGCUACCGGUCGACCGUUCGCGGUCAGACAAUGAAGAGCCGUCGGGGCAACCCGGCGGCUC
This 164-nucleotide small RNA is filed under the name Brevundimonas variabilis. RNAcentral describes it as "sRNA CC2171". It matches the Rfam family "caulobacter sRNA CC2171", at positions 1 to 138 of the family's 159-position model. The record is from RNAcentral. Lineage: Bacteria; Pseudomonadati; Pseudomonadota; Alphaproteobacteria; Caulobacterales; Caulobacteraceae.